UUAUUUGCCUUCCUUGGCCAACUGUUGACCUGUGAUUAAGAAAAAGAACAAUACUUGCAUGGAUCAGGAUCUAUAUAAAUUACUGAGUGCACAAGAGCCCAUAUAUAUAUAAAUUGAUCCCUUCUGCUUCAGAAGAUUCAUAACAGAAGACCAGAUUUCAAGAACCCAAAAAAAAUGGCAGGUUUGUUCGACAAGCAGGCUGCGGUUUAUGCACAUGCCAGGCCAACCUUUCCAAGUCAAUGGUU
This 245-nucleotide unclassified non-coding RNA is filed under the name Hevea brasiliensis (rubber tree). Lineage: Eukaryota; Viridiplantae; Streptophyta; Magnoliopsida; Malpighiales; Euphorbiaceae. The record is from RNAcentral.